UUGAAUGUAAAUUAGAACUGAAUAGCCAAGAAUGAAAGAAAAUCAAACCUUGCUAACCAAAAGAAACUAUUAUCAGACUAUAGCAUUGCUCAGAGGUAUACCACACAGGACUUCGCCUAAGUCACGGGCAUGCGUGUCAAUACUACAGUUCAGAUAAAAUAAAAGCGAAACCAAAAACAAUAAAGUGUAAAUUAUCAUGAUCUACCAUAGCAUUGCUCAGAGGUAUACCACACAGGACUUCGCCUAAGUCACGGGCAUGCGUGUCAAUACUACGGUUCAGAU
Molecule: long non-coding RNA, 282 nt
Organism: Coccinella septempunctata (seven-spotted ladybird)
Lineage: Eukaryota; Metazoa; Arthropoda; Insecta; Coleoptera; Coccinellidae
Exons: 2
Source: RefSeq, a predicted model, not a curated record